UGUCCCACCACCCUUCUUCCAACCCUCUGAUCAUUUCUGUGCCCCUCCUCUGGACCCACUCAAACAGGCCCGUGUCUUCCUUGUGCUGGGGACCCAAGAGCUGGAGGCAGUAGUCCAGGUGGGGCUCCCAAGAGCAGAGCAGAGAAGAAGAGGAGAAUCACCUCCCUCCACCUGCUGGCCAUGCUGAAGAUCAAUCUAAUGAUAUGAUCCCAUGUGUCCUGUUGUCAUCUUCUUACUGGCUUCUCCAUGCUCACGGAACACCAUUUCUUUAGGAAUGGGUCAGGUGGCUGCAGCAGGAGCUUGCCAGCGCUCUCAGAAAGUGCUCCCUGGCAGAAGCUUCACUUGAAGCUGAGAAGCGCCACAGCAGGGACCUGCAGGAACAGAAACUGCAGCUGCAGAAGGAACUGGACAGUUCUAAAGCUCAGCUGCAGGAAUUGAAAGAGCGGCUUAUCCGGAACGAGUGUUAUGCCGAGUCCCUGGAGAGUGCCAUAAAGAACAAGGAGAGGGAGCUAACAGCUUCCAAGCACCUGCAGAGACUUCUGGUCACCUCUUCUGGAACUGCGGCUGUCCCAGAGCUGGAAGAACGCGUGCAGCAGCUCCAAGUUCGAAGGGCCAGGCUGGCAGCCACAGUCCAGCAACAAGCCAAGACUAUGGAAGCCCUUCAGCAAGACCUGCAAGCCUCUGCCUCAGUAAGCUAAUCAGAACCUUCCCUUUUCAUGAGCUACCAGAGCCCAGUUCCACCUUCAGGUGGGGAAAUUGGAAGGUUCUCCCGGAGAGCCUGGGAGAGACCAUUUCCUCUGUUCUACUGACUACUUUGAGGCUGCCCUCAAAGUCCUGCUGCCCCGUUUCCCAGCCUUCUGGCUUUGAGAGUCGCCCCAUGAGACUGUAGCCAGUCCUACUUCAGUGCCACCUAAUGCCGCCUUUGUGAAGGACUUGGCAGUCAGGGACUGGCUUCGGUAUUUUUGCUUUAGAACACUCGUGAGGUUGAGACCUCGGGCAGCACUUCAGACAGUUGUGCUGUAGAGGCAUUUGGUACCUUCAGCUGCAGACGUUCCUUGGGCUCUGGUGGUGCCGAGCGCUUCAUCCUGAAGGCCUGACUGGCAUUGUCAGACUGUGACAGGAGUUCUUCAGUUGCCUCUGCUCUGGUGCCCUUCCAUUAGUGCUGUACUUCCAGCAUCCAGUUUCCAGUGCCACCUUUGGCCCAGCCUGCUGUAUAAACUAACAGCCCACACUAACCCUUCCCCAGCCACUGCUGAGCCUCCAGCGCCAUUAGCACUGAGGAGAUGCCAGAGCAGAGGAAGUGCCGGUGCCCGAAAGCUGAGUGGUGACAAGAGAGAGGAAUGAAGCCUGCAAACCC
RNAcentral lists this long non-coding RNA (1357 nucleotides) under Columba livia (rock pigeon). RNAcentral's name for it is "partial uncharacterized LOC102090452". Lineage: Eukaryota; Metazoa; Chordata; Aves; Columbiformes; Columbidae. The record is from RNAcentral.